GAGUUUGAUCCUGGCUCAGGACGAACGCUGGCGGCGUGCUUAACACAUGCGAGUCGAGCGAUGAAGCUUCCUUCGGGAAGUGGAUUAGCGGCGGACGGGUGAGUAACACGUGGGUAACCUGCCUCAAAGAGGGGGAUAGCCUCCCGAAAGGGAGAUUAAUACCGCAUAGAAGGUAAAAAUCGCAUGAUAAAUACCUUAAAGGAGCAAUCCGCUUUGAGAUGGGCCCGCGUCGCAUUAGCUAGUUGGAGGGAUAAAAGCCCCCCAAGGCGACGAUGCGUAGCCGACCUGAGAGGGUGAACGGCCACAUUGGAACUGAGAUACGGUCCAGACUCCUACGGGAGGCAGCAGUGGGGAAUAUUGCACAAUGGGGGAAACCCUGAUGCAGCAACGCCGCGUGAGUGAAGAAGGUUUUCGGAUCGUAAAGCUCUGUCAUCCGGGACGAUAAUGACGGUACCGGAAGAGGAAGCCACGGCUAACUACGUGCCAGCAGCCGCGGUAAUAC
This 502-nucleotide ribosomal RNA is filed under the name uncultured bacterium. Its description in RNAcentral is "bacterial SSU rRNA". It matches the Rfam family "Bacterial small subunit ribosomal RNA", at positions 9 to 526 of the family's 1533-position model. The record is from RNAcentral.